Molecule: long non-coding RNA, 591 nt
Filed under: Olea europaea subsp. europaea
Lineage: Eukaryota; Viridiplantae; Streptophyta; Magnoliopsida; Lamiales; Oleaceae
Source: RNAcentral
UGUCAGAGGAUCCGUCGCCAAUUUCAAAAAGAGAUCUGUGUCAAGAUCCUUUCUGUCCCCAAUGUUUAAUUGAUUUGACGUCUCCACGAACCUAGUUGAUGUGACGUGUCAACUUUAUGUCAACUCAACUUAGGAGAAGUUAUUACCCGCCCACUCUAUCGACGCGGCUGAUUGACACCUAUGAGCAGAUGUCUCACACCGUCAGAUGCAUACACAUAUCCCACAUCUAACAAUUCUCCUCAACUAUAAAUACCCAAGGUUUGACAAGAGGCAAAUGUAAUGAAACUCUUACAACUUAGCUCUCCAUAACAAAUAAAUAUAUAUUCUCCUCCCCACCCUUUUGCACAACUUUGGUACUGUUCCAAUUACUUGGGGCUAACUUGAUCGUCGGAAUGUAUGCAGUCGCCGCCAACCCCACUGGUCCCGACUGUGUGCAUCUGACCGUGCGUUGAUUGUGCGUAAGGAGAAAUACGUGGAGUAGCUAUCAGUUGGCCACGUGGAGGGUCCAAUUUGCGAGGUCAGCAGGUAGGCUACAUCUCAAACUUUCUCAAUGAUAGAAAAUGGAAAUUAGAUAUUAACAGAACUUCAAAU